Molecule: non-coding RNA, 159 nt
Filed under: Oscillibacter sp.
Lineage: Bacteria; Bacillati; Bacillota; Clostridia; Eubacteriales; Oscillospiraceae
Description: GlcN6P sequence
Rfam family: glmS glucosamine-6-phosphate activated ribozyme aptamer
About the family: This entry contains a glucosamine-6-phosphate activated ribozyme that is found in the mRNA for GlmS.
Source: RNAcentral
AACCCAUACAAAGCGCCAUGUGCCUGCCGCUUCCCGGCAGGAUAACGAGGAGGAGAGAGUAUCGAGCCUUCGGCGGGAGCUCUCCCGCGCCGUCCGGGCGCGCACGCAGCGGGCAAAUAUGCGGGCGACCGCAAAACAGAGAUGCUGCGACCGGAGAAU